AGAGUUUGAUCCUGGCUCAGGAUGAACGCUGGCGGCGUGCCUAAUACAUGCAAGUCGAGCGAACUGAUUAGAAGCUUGCUUCUAUGACGUUAGCGGCGGACGGGUGAGUAACACGUGGGCAACCUGCCUGUAAGACUGGGAUAACUUCGGGAAACCGAAGCUAAUACCGGAUAGGAUCUUCUCCUUCAUGGGAGAUGAUUGAAAGAUGGUUUCGGCUAUCACUUACAGAUGGGCCCGCGGUGCAUUAGCUAGUUGGUGAGGUAACGGCUCACCAAGGCAACGAUGCAUAGCCGACCUGAGAGGGUGAUCGGCCACACUGGGACUGAGCCACGGCCCAGACUCCUACGGGAGGCAGCAGUAGGGAAUCUUCCGCAAUGGACGAAAGUCUGACGGAGCAACGCCGCGUGAGUGAUGAAGGCUUUCGGGUCGUAAAACUCUGUUGUUAGGGAAGAACAAGUACAAGAGUAACUGCUCGUACCUUGACGGUACCUAACCAGAAAGCCACGGCUAACUACGUGCCAGCAGCCGCGGUAAUAC
Molecule: ribosomal RNA, 537 nt
Filed under: uncultured bacterium
Lineage: Bacteria
Description: bacterial SSU rRNA
Rfam family: Bacterial small subunit ribosomal RNA
Source: RNAcentral